AGAUUAAGUUAUUAAGGGCGCACGGUGGAUGCCUUGGCACUAGAAGCCGAUGAAGGACGUUACUAACGACGAUAUGCUUUGGGGAGCUGUAAGUAAGCUUUGAUCCAGAGAUUUCCGAAUGGGGAAACCCAGCAUGAGUUAUGUCAUGUUAUCGAUAUGUGAAUACAUAGCAUAUCAGAAGGCACACCCGGAGAACUGAAACAUCUUAGUACCCGGAGGAAGAGAAAGAAAAUUCGAUUCCCUUAGUAGCGGCGAGCGAAAUGGGAAGAGCCCAAACCAACAAGCUUGCUUGUUGGGGUUGUAGGACACUCUAUACGGAGUUACAAAGGACGACAUUAGACGAAUCAUCUGGAAAGAUGAAUCAAAGAAGGUAAUAAUCCUGUAGUCGAAAAUGUUGUCUCUCUUGAGUGGAUCCUGAGUACGACGGAGCACGUGAAAUUCCGUCGGAAUCUGGGAGGACCAUCUCCUAAGGCUAAAUACUCUCUAGUGACCGAUAGUGAACCAGUACCGUGAGGGAAAGGUGAAAAGCACCCCGGAAGGGGAGUGAAAUAGAACCUGAAACCGUGUGCUUACAAGUAGUCAGAGCCCGUUAAUGGGUGAUGGCGUGCCUUUUGUAGAAUGAACCGGCGAGUUACGAUUUGAUGCAAGGUUAAGCAGUAAAUGUGGAGCCGUAGCGAAAGCGAGUCUGAAUAGGGCGUUUAGUAUUUGGUCGUAGACCCGAAACCAGGUGAUCUACCCUUGGUCAGGUUGAAGUUCAGGUAACACUGAAUGGAGGACCGAACCGACUUACGUUGAAAAGUGAGCGGAUGAACUGAGGGUAGCGGAGAAAUUCCAAUCGAACCUGGAGAUAGCUGGUUCUCUCCGAAAUAGCUUUAGGGCUAGCCUCAAGUGAUGAUUAUUGGAGGUAGAGCACUGUUUGGACGAGGGGCCCCUCUCGGGUUACCGAAUUCAGACAAACUCCGAAUGCCAAUUAAUUUAACUUGGGAGUCAGAACAUGGGUGAUAAGGUCCGUGUUCGAAAGGGAAACAGCCCAGACCACCAGCUAAGGUCCCAAAAUAUAUGUUAAGUGGAAAAGGAUGUGGCGUUGCCCAGACAACUAGGAUGUUGGCUUAGAAGCAGCCAUCAUUUAAAGAGUGCGUAAUAGCUCACUAGUCGAGUGACACUGCGCCGAAAAUGUACCGGGGCUAAACAUAUUACCGAAGCUGUGGAUUGUCCUUUGGACAAUGGUAGGAGAGCGUUCUAAGGGCGUUGAAGCAUGAUCGUAAGGACAUGUGGAGCGCUUAGAAGUGAGAAUGCCGGUGUGAGUCGCGAAAGACGGGUGAGAAUCCCGUCCACCGAUUGACUAAGGUUUCCAGAGGAAGGCUCGUCCGCUCUGGGUUAGUCGGGUCCUAAGCUGAGGCCGACAGGCGUAGGCGAUGGAUAACAGGUUGAUAUUCCUGUACCACCUAUAAUCGUUUUAAUCGAUGGGGGGACGCAGUAGGAUAGGCGAAGCGUGCGAUUGGAUUGCACGUCUAAGCAGUAAGGCUGAGUAUUAGGCAAAUCCGGUACUCAUUAAGGCUGAGCUGUGAUGGGGAGAAGACAUUG
RNAcentral lists this ribosomal RNA (1584 nucleotides) under Staphylococcus aureus. Its description in RNAcentral is "partial 23S ribosomal RNA". It matches the Rfam family "Bacterial large subunit ribosomal RNA", at positions 1 to 1581 of the family's 2925-position model. The record is from RNAcentral. Lineage: Bacteria; Bacillati; Bacillota; Bacilli; Caryophanales; Staphylococcaceae.